UACAGAGGUCUCAAGCGUUGUUCGGAUUCAUUGGGCGUAAAGGGUCUGUAGGUGGCUUGCUAAGUCAGACGUGAAAUCCCUCAGCUUAACUGGGGAACUGCGUCUGAGACUGGCGAGCUUGAGGGCAGGAGAGGAACGCGGAAUUCCAGGUGUAGCGGUGAAAUGCGUAGAUAUCUGGAGGAACACCGGUGGCGAAGGCGGCGUUCUGGACUGCAUCUGACACUGAAAGACGAAAGCCAGGGGAGCAAACGGG
Molecule: ribosomal RNA, 253 nt
Filed under: uncultured bacterium
Lineage: Bacteria
Description: partial 16S ribosomal RNA
Rfam family: Bacterial small subunit ribosomal RNA
Source: RNAcentral